This 429-nucleotide long non-coding RNA is filed under the name Homo sapiens (human). Its description in RNAcentral is "HSALNT0047495". Lineage: Eukaryota; Metazoa; Chordata; Mammalia; Primates; Hominidae. The record is from RNAcentral.
GUGCAAAAAGGCAUAAAAUGAAAAAGACAGGGCCUCUGUCACGCAGGCUGGAGUGCAAUGGCACGAUCAUCACUCACUGCAGCCUCAAAUUCCUGGACUGAAGUGAUCCUCCUGCCUCAGCCUCCCAAGUACCUAGGACUACAGGUGCAAGCCACCAUACCUGGCUAGUUUUUUUACUUUUCCAUAGAGAUGAGGUCUCCAAACCUAUGUUGCCCAGGCUGGUCUCAAAUUCCUGGGGUCAAGUGAUGUUUCCACCUCAGCCUCUCACAGUGCUGGGAUUAUAGUUGUAAGCCUCCACACCCAGCCUUAUUUCAUUUUUUAAAGAUAGGGUCUCACUCUGUUGCCCAGGCUGGAGUGCAAUGGCAUGAUCAUACCUCACUGAGGACUUAAACUCCUGGUCUCAAGCGAUCUUCCUGCCUCAGUCUCCUA